This 465-nucleotide ribosomal RNA is filed under the name Vreelandella stevensii. RNAcentral's name for it is "partial 16S ribosomal RNA". It matches the Rfam family "Bacterial small subunit ribosomal RNA", at positions 338 to 795 of the family's 1533-position model. The record is from RNAcentral. Lineage: Bacteria; Pseudomonadati; Pseudomonadota; Gammaproteobacteria; Oceanospirillales; Halomonadaceae.
CCUACGGGCGGCAGCAGUGGGGAAUAUUGGACAAUGGGCGAAAGCCUGAUCCAGCCAUGCCGCGUGUGUGAAGAAGGCCUUCGGGUUGUAAAGCACUUUCAGUGGGGAAGAAAGCCUUGGGGCUAAUACCCUCGAGGAAGGACAUCACCCACAGAAGAAGCACCGGCUAACUCCGUGCCAGCAGCCGCGGUAAUACGGAGGGUGCGAGUGUUAAUCGGAAUUACUGGGCGUAAAGCGCGCGUAGGCGGUCUGAUAAGCCGGUUGUGAAAGCCCCGGGCUCAACCUGGGAACGGCAUCCGGAACUGUCAGGCUAGAGUGCAGGAGAGGAAGGUAGAAUUCCCGGUGUAGCGGUGAAAUGCGUAGAGAUCGGGAGGAAUACCAGUGGCGAAGGCGGCCUUCUGGACUGACACUGACGCUGAGGUGCGAAAGCGUGGGUAGCAAACAGGAUUAGAUACCCGAGUAGUC